This is a long non-coding RNA of Pan troglodytes (chimpanzee), 1196 nucleotides long. RefSeq lists it as uncharacterized. The transcript has 3 exons. The record is from RefSeq and is a predicted model, not a curated record. NCBI's taxonomy places the organism in Eukaryota, Metazoa, Chordata, Mammalia, Primates, Hominidae.
GGCAACCCGCUCGGGUCUCCUUACACAUUGUGGAAGCUUUGUUCUUUCACUCUUUGCUUUAAAUCUUGCUGCUGCUCACUCUUUGGGUCCACGCUGCUUUUAUGAGCUGUAACACUCACCGCAAAAGGCUGCAGCUUCACUCUUGAAGCCGGCGAGACCAGGAGCCCACCAGGAGGACGAACAACUCCGGGUGCGCUGCCUUAAGAGCUGUAACACUCACUGCAAUGGUCUGCAGCUUCACUCCUGAGCCAGUGAGACCCCGAACCCACCAGAAGGAAGAAACUCCGAACACAUCCAAAUAUCAGAAGGAACAAACUCCAGACGCGCCACCUUAAGAGCUGUACCACUCACCGCGAGGGUCCGCGGCUUCAUUCUUGAAGUCAGUGAGACCAAGAACCCACCAAUUCUGGACACACCAUCAGCAAUGUUGAGAUGACUAAUAACAAAAGGGAAAAGCUACCUUCACAAGGAGAUGUCCAGUUGACACUAUCUCAACCAAAAUUAUUAAACAUAGCAUCAGCAAUCGUGGGACAAACAGACGCAAACAUCUCCUGGUGUGAGGCGCAUCAAGGAAAAACAAUCUACAAGAAACAAAAUGGUGAGAAAAAGCAGCACACUCACGGCUCUGAAGAGCACAGCAUAAGGCUACAAAAAGGACCAAGCACCUUCUCAACCUGCAAUGUGCUCAGUGUCUGUAAAUCACAAGUUAGGUGAUGAAGGGCUGGUAGUUUCCCAUGAAUUAAUAACUUUCCUUCUUGCCCCCAUGUUAUCUCCCUCACCUGACCCCCCCCCAAUAAAACAUCCUUAAAAGGCUCCUCUCAAAUUCCUUGCAAAUAUUAGGCUCCUCUCAAAUUGCUUGCACAUGCUUGGAGAAGCUCACAGUGGUUAGUACACUCAUACACAACUGAACUUGAGCGACACAAAGCUUACAAGACAGCAAAGACAACAGCAAAGCUGGGCCCAGCAGCCAUCACCUAAAGAACUCUUCACUCGUUACAUUGGAGCAGGUGAUCUCUCUGGAACCAGGAACCACAGAACCCUGAAGGACACGGAGCUGGUGGCUAAGGAUUCAAGGCCUGCAGUGAAAAUGUAACAUUUCCCUCCAAGUGCUUAUUUCUGCUAUAAACUGGUUUAGUUUUGCAAUGAACAACUAGAUUUCUAACUGAUAUUCACGUUAAUAAACUUUUCUUUUUUAA